GAUGAACGCUGGCGGCGUGCCUAAUACAUGCAAGUCGAGCGAACAGACGAGGAGCUUGUUCCUCUGACGUUAGCGGCGGACGGGUGAGUAACACGUGGAUAACCUACCUAUAAGACUGGGAUAACUUCGGGAAACCGGAGCUAAUACCGGAUAAUAUAUUGAACCGCAUGGUUCAAUAGUGAAAGACGGUUUUGCUGUCACUUAUAGAUGGAUCCGCGCCGCAUUAGCUAGUUGGUAAGGUAACGGCUUACCAAGGCAACGAUGCGUAGCCGACCUGAGAGGGUGAUCGGCCACACUGGAACUGAGACACGGUCCAGACUCCUACGGGAGGCAGCAGUAGGGAAUCUUCCGCAAAGGGCGAAAGCCUGACGGAGCAACGCCGCGUGAGUGAUGAAGGUCUUCGGAUCGUAAAACUCUGUUAUUAGGGAAGAACAAAUGUGUAAGUAACUAUGCACGUCUUGACGGUACCUAAUCAGAAAGCCACGGCUAACUACGUG
This 497-nucleotide ribosomal RNA is filed under the name uncultured bacterium. RNAcentral describes it as "partial 16S ribosomal RNA". It matches the Rfam family "Bacterial small subunit ribosomal RNA", at positions 28 to 507 of the family's 1533-position model. The record is from RNAcentral.